RNAcentral lists this signal recognition particle RNA (296 nucleotides) under Aotus nancymaae (Ma's night monkey). RNAcentral describes it as "Metazoan signal recognition particle RNA (ENSANAG00000015128.1)". It matches the Rfam family "Metazoan signal recognition particle RNA". From Rfam's summary of the family: The signal recognition particle (SRP) is a universally conserved ribonucleoprotein. It is involved in the co-translational targeting of proteins to membranes. Lineage: Eukaryota; Metazoa; Chordata; Mammalia; Primates; Aotidae. The record is from RNAcentral.
ACUGGGCGCAGUGGCACUUGCCUGUAGUCCCAGCUACUCGGGAGGCUGAGGUGGGAGGAUAGCUUGAGUCCAGGAGUUCUGGGCUGUAGUGAGCUAUGCCGAUUGGGUGUCCGCACUAAGUUUGGCAUCAAUAUGGUGACCUCCCGGGAGCGGGGAACCACCAGGUUGCCUGAGGGGUGAACCGGCCCAGGCCGGAAACAGAGCAGGUCAAAACUCCUAUGCUGAUCAGUAGUGGGAUCGCGCCUGUGAAUAGCCACUGCACUCCAGCCUGGGUAACAUAGCGAGACCCUGUCUCU